RNAcentral lists this ribosomal RNA (253 nucleotides) under uncultured bacterium. RNAcentral describes it as "partial 16S ribosomal RNA". It matches the Rfam family "Bacterial small subunit ribosomal RNA", at positions 524 to 776 of the family's 1533-position model. The record is from RNAcentral.
GACGAACCGUACGAACGUUGUUCGGAAUCACUGGGCUUAAAGGGCGCGUAGGCUGCGCAGCAAGUUGGGUGUGAAAUCCCUCGGCUUAACCGAGGAACUGCGCCCAAAACUGCUGUGCUCGAGGGAGAUAGAGGUGAGCGGAACUUAGGGUGGAGCGGUGAAAUGCGUUGAUAUCCUAAGGAACACCGGUGGCGAAAGCGGCUCACUGGAUCUCUUCUGACGCUGAGGCGCGAAAGCUAGGGUAGCGAACGGG